This 465-nucleotide ribosomal RNA is filed under the name Weissella confusa. RNAcentral describes it as "bacterial SSU rRNA". It matches the Rfam family "Bacterial small subunit ribosomal RNA", at positions 338 to 795 of the family's 1533-position model. Lineage: Bacteria; Bacillati; Bacillota; Bacilli; Lactobacillales; Lactobacillaceae. The record is from RNAcentral.
CCUACGGGUGGCUGCAGUGGGGAAUUUUGGACAAUGGGCGCAAGCCUGAUCCAGCAAUGCCGCGUGCAGGAAGAAGGCCUUCGGGUUGUAAACUGCUUUUGUACGGAACGAAACGGUCUGGGUUAAUACCCUGGGCUAAUGACGGUACCGUAAGAAUAAGCACCGGCUAACUACGUGCCAGCAGCCGCGGUAAUACGUAGGGUGCAAGCGUUAAUCGGAAUUACUGGGCGUAAAGCGUGCGCAGGCGGUUUUGUAAGACAGGCGUGAAAUCCCCGGGCUCAACCUGGGAAUUGCGCUUGUGACUGCAAAGCUGGAGUGCGGCAGAGGGGGAUGGAAUUCCGCGUGUAGCAGUGAAAUGCGUAGAUAUGCGGAGGAACACCGAUGGCGAAGGCAAUCCCCUGGGCCUGCACUGACGCUCAUGCACGAAAGCGUGGGGAGCAAACAGGAUUAGAUACCCGGGUAGUC